AUUGAACGCUGGCGGCAGGCUUAACACAUGCAAGUCGAACGAGUGGCGGACGGGUGAGUAAUGCUUGGGAAUCUAGCUUAUGGAGGGGGAUAACUACGGGAAACUGUAGCUAAUACCGCGUACCCUAGGAUGAGCCCAAGUGGGAUUAGGUAGUUGGUGAGGUAAAGGCUCACCAAGCCGACGAUCUCUAGCUGGUCUGAGAGGAUGACCAGCAAACCUGGGACUAGAACACGGCCAAGAGUCCUACGGGAGGCAGCAGUGGGGAAUAUUGGGAAAUGGGGGCAACCUGACGCAGCCAGGCCGGGGGAAUGAAGCAGGCCUUCGGGUUGUAAAGUUCUUUCGGUAGGGAGGCGUUAACUACAGAAGAAGCAACGGCUAACUCCGUGCCAGCAGCCGCGGUAAUAC
RNAcentral lists this ribosomal RNA (405 nucleotides) under uncultured bacterium. Its description in RNAcentral is "partial 16S ribosomal RNA". It matches the Rfam family "Bacterial small subunit ribosomal RNA", at positions 30 to 526 of the family's 1533-position model. The record is from RNAcentral.